CACGCAGGCGGCCAUCUAAGUCAGAUGUGAAAGCCCACGGCUCAACCGUGGAACUGCAUUUGAUACUGGUUGGCUAGAGUACGGUUGGGGUGAGUGGAACUCCUGGUGGAGCGGUGAAAUGCGUAGAUAUCAGGAGGAACACCAGUGGCGAAAGCGGCUCACUGGACCGUAACUGACGCUGAGGCGCGAAAGCUAGGGUAGCGAACAGGAUUAGAUACCCUGGUAGUCC
Molecule: ribosomal RNA, 229 nt
Filed under: uncultured bacterium
Lineage: Bacteria
Description: partial 16S ribosomal RNA
Rfam family: Bacterial small subunit ribosomal RNA
Source: RNAcentral